Molecule: ribosomal RNA, 413 nt
Filed under: uncultured bacterium
Lineage: Bacteria
Description: bacterial SSU rRNA
Rfam family: Bacterial small subunit ribosomal RNA
Source: RNAcentral
UGGGGAAUUUUGCGCAAUGGGGGAAACCCUGACGCAGCAACGCCGCGUGCGGGACGAAGGCCCUCGGGUCGUAAACCGCUUUCAGCAGGGAAGACCACGACGGUACCUGCAGAAGAAGCUCCGGCUAACUACGUGCCAGCAGCCGCGGUAAUACGUAGGGGGCGAGCGUUAUCCGGAUUCAUUGGGCGUAAAGCGCGCGUAGGCGGCCGCCUAAGCGGGACCUCUAACCCCGGGCUCAACCCCGGGCCGGGUCCCGGACUGGGCGGCUCGAGUGCGGUAGAGGAGAGCGGAAUUCCCGGUGUAGCGGUGGAAUGCGCAGAUAUCGGGAAGAACACCGAUGGCGAAGGCAGCUCUCUGGGCCGUCACUGACGCUGAGGCGCGAAAGCUGGGGGAGCGAACAGGAUUAGAUACCC